UACGUAGGGUGCGAGCGUUAAUCGGAAUUACUGGGCGUAAAGCGUGCGCAGGCGGUUCGUUAAGUUCGAUGUGAAAGCCCCGGGCUCAACCUGGGAACUGCAUUGGAAACUGGCGGGCUUGAGUGUGGCAGAGGGGGGUGGAAUUCCACAUGUAGCAGUGAAAUGCGUAGAGAUGUGGAGGAACACCGAUGGCGGAGGCAGCCCCCUGGGCUAACACUGACGCUCAGGCACGAAAGCGUGGGGGGCAAACAGG
This 253-nucleotide ribosomal RNA is filed under the name uncultured bacterium. Its description in RNAcentral is "partial 16S ribosomal RNA". It matches the Rfam family "Bacterial small subunit ribosomal RNA", at positions 524 to 776 of the family's 1533-position model. The record is from RNAcentral.